RNAcentral lists this ribosomal RNA (253 nucleotides) under uncultured bacterium. RNAcentral's name for it is "partial 16S ribosomal RNA". It matches the Rfam family "Bacterial small subunit ribosomal RNA", at positions 524 to 776 of the family's 1533-position model. The record is from RNAcentral.
CACGUAGGAGGCGAGCGUUGUCCGGAAUCAUUGGGCGUAAAGAGCGCGCAGGCGGCUUGGCAAGUCGGGUGUGAAAUCCCGGGGCUCAACCCCGUGACUGCAUCCGAUACUGUCAGGCUAGAGGUAGGUAGGGGAGAUCGGAAUUCCUGGUGUAGCGGUGAAAUGCGCAGAUAUCAGGAGGAACACCGGUGGCGAAGGCGGAUCCCUGGGCCUUACCUGACGCUCAGGCGCGAAAGCUAGGGGAGCGAACAGG